UCAUAAAUAUUUUCUUCUCAACAAUAUAAUCUCAACUCUAAGUCUUACACGUAUAUACAUCUGCAAAACUUAAUUACGGGCAGAUCAAGAAUAAGAUGGUAAAAACGAAAGAAGAAGGAGGGAUUUUGAGAGGAGGAAUUAAAGCUAGAAUUCGACCAAGAGGUUAAUUGGUAUCUCUGGUAAUGAACUUAUCUGUUGUGUAAAGGAUUAGGACCAGUGUAGACUUUCCUCUUGUCGGCUCCAAAAAUGUCUUGCUCAUCAUCUUUAUCGUUUGUAUUUGCUCUGAAGGCGGGUGGGGAGUCAAAAGGUUUGAGCUGAGAAGCAGAGGAGGCAGAGGUAGGUUUGAAACUGUGAAAUCUGGAUUUUCCAGCAAGGCAUGGAGCGGUGAAUUGUGAAAGAGUAAGGAGGGCCAGAAACAGUACAACCAUCAGCCCCAUCUGCUUCUUGCUCCUUGCACAGACCAUCGCAUGGGAUUGAGAUCGAUGUCCGCAGGACGACUCAGGCAGGAUCGCUCGAGAUUUGACACUGAAGGCGAAGGAGUUCUAACAGAGAGGAAAAGUCAAAUGAAAUGGGGAGAGUCAAGAUGCAUGGAACUUGGUGCCACACUUUCUUGAUAGUAUGCUGAAAAAUACUUAAAAGAAAAUGCAGAUUUCAGAGCCGGGUUUUGUCUCACUCAACCCCGAGACAAACACAAGCAGCAAGGAAGGAAAGUAGCAGAAAAGGAAGAAAUGGGAGAAGGAAAAGGUGAGAGUGGGAAAGGGAGAGACAAAAAUGAGGGUUUUGAAAGGCUUAAAGUGAAAUGAAAGCUUCCCAAUGCACUUUCUAAAGUUCUACUCAUGACUAGCCCGCCAGAUAUAAUUGAUACACAUAUAUGUGAAUCUUCUUGUCAAA
Long non-coding RNA from Prosopis cineraria, 891 nucleotides. RefSeq lists it as uncharacterized. The record is from RefSeq and is a predicted model, not a curated record. The transcript has 2 exons. NCBI's taxonomy places the organism in Eukaryota, Viridiplantae, Streptophyta, Magnoliopsida, Fabales, Fabaceae.